Long non-coding RNA from Antechinus flavipes (yellow-footed antechinus), 697 nucleotides. RefSeq lists it as uncharacterized. NCBI's taxonomy places the organism in Eukaryota, Metazoa, Chordata, Mammalia, Dasyuromorphia, Dasyuridae. The transcript has 2 exons. The record is from RefSeq and is a predicted model, not a curated record.
UGAGAGCACAGGUAGUGAUUUGAUCACAGUUGAUGAUGGAAGUCAAGGGCUUCCGAAAAGAAAGGCAUAUUCAGGAAUUGAAUAGGUAGUUAAGAAAAUGCUGUUUGAGAAUAGCAGUUGGAUUUUUGGUCACAGCUUAAAAUAUAGGAAUGAGGUGAUUCUGAACAGAGAGGAAAUGCACAUAACAAGGGGUGGUAAGAUUUUAUUUAUUUGCCUAGAUAUUUAGAGUCUUAGAGUAAAAAUAUAAACAUAGAAAAAACAGUAAAAAUAUAAACAUAGAAGAUUAAACAGCAUAAGAAGAAAACACAAGAAGAAAACAGACAGAGGCUCUCAGACAGAGUUCAGCAGAAGAUUGAGAAGGGAGCAUCACUUCAGUUGAGGAGAAGCACUCUCUCGGAGGGCUCCCAGAUUCAUUUUCAUCUCACACCACUGUGGUGGCUGGACUCCUGCACUUCCCCCACUGAGACCAAGCUGGUCUGAAAGACUCUCCAGAAAGCUAGCCGAGCCCCAAGUGAAGGAGACGAGAUUCAUUCCAUCUUUGUGCUGGCUGGAGGCUGAAGAAAGCAGAGGCAGAGGCUGAAGGACAAACCUUUGGAUUUGGAGACAUUUGGAGGGAGCUCUUGGAACCAAGCAGAGAGAUAGGCCUCUAAGCUAACCGGGCUAUAUUGGAGACAAUAAAAGAUCUGAACUUUUAUCA